CUGGGUUUGAUUCUCAGCACCACAUAUAAAUAAAUAAAAUAAAGCUCUAUCAACAACUAAAACAAUAUUUUAAAAAAUACAGCAUUCUUUCAGAAAAAGGAUGCUAGAAUCAGAUUGCUAAAUUACAUGUAAAAUUGGUGAAGGUGGUAUGGAGCAAUUGGGGCUAUAUUCUCUAGUGAUCAGAAAUCAUUUGCAUCCCCAACUGGACAAAAAUAAUCUAUAUUCUGACAGUUUUCUCCAUAUUAAUAUCUACCUUUACAGAGCUGAGUCAAUAGGCAAACCUAGUCACUUCCUCAGCCAGGUGGUCCUUACACGGGCUUUUACACAAUGUCAGAGCACACAAAAAUACCAAGAAUAUCUUUCUUUCGUCUUCGUUCCAAAUUCUUGAUGAUUUUUCAUAAUGAUAAUCAGGAUAGGAUUUGCUAAGUGUUCAGGACACUCUUCUACCAACCUUGAUAUGGCCUCGGACUCUUUCUCGGCAUUGUGUUCCACAUACCCACUGACAGUCUAUGAGAACUGGUGCCAGGGAGGAAAUUGAUUUGCCACCCAUUCCUAAGAGACCACAGUGGAUGGGCUUUGACCUUCAGACAGCUUCUCCAUGACUGGCUGGUGCUUACAGUGGCUUAGUUAAAGAUGCUGCUUAGACAUGAGGAAAGACCUGAAGAAACAUUAGCUUUCAUGGAGAGAAGGCAGGGGGUCUAGGGAAGCCAUGUCUUUUCUAUCAAAGAUGGGUGUUCACCUGCUCUUCCCAAGUCAGGAUUUCAAAGACAAGAGAUGUGGCUUCAGAACACUGCAUCUCAUGCUGAUAGGUUGUUCUCAUUAUAGAGUUCUGUGCUAAAUGGGUGAUAAACCAGGAAGGGAGCAGGGCAUUUUGAUCCUAGUGAUAUUGGGUGUUGCUAGUGACCUUAUAGAGGUGUAUGAUCCAUGAAGCAAAUGGGUCUGUGGUAAUCAGAGAACAGGAACACUGGCUCAAGAGGAGAGGAAAUCAUCAUUCAUUCCUGGGUAUCCACUUGACACGGACUAUGGGCCUAGCUUCACCGAAGUCCAUUGGCCGCUGUCAGGAAGUCUCUUUUCCAGAAGGAACAGGAGACCUGGAAUUACAUGUAAUCAAUUUCCUAAGUGGGAGAAUUUCCUCAUUUAAGAAAUUCUAAAUUGUCAAGGCCUGUGUGCCCAUUCCCAUAAAACCCUGUCCAUCUGCAGGAAGAGAGAAAAGUCAAGCAGUAUGCAAAUGCCCUUCUAGAAACAUUCUUCCUUAGAGCUACGGAGUGUUUAAAUUGUCAAAAUCCCCUGUUCGAAAAUUACACUCGACAUUUAUAUUUCUUUGAAAAAUUGGAGAAGAGAUAGUUCAUUAGUGUUUCAAAUAAGGUACAAGAACAAUAAUUCAGGGUCAUCAUUCUUGUCCUCAAUGGAAUGACAAAAGGGAACAAUGCAGUUUUCUUCUCAUGAUGGAAUCGAGAACACCGUAAGCCAUCUCUAUCUCCUGGAGGCCUGGGACUUCUGCAUCUCAUAGGUGAGAGAGCGAUCCCCACCUUGUUGAGAGAUGGGGGACAGCCCACUUAGAUAGCCUGUGAUGAAGCAGCUGCAGGGGAGGGGGCAGCAGCUGCAGAACAAAGGAGACGCCCCCCCUCCCAGAAGUCACUGAGUGGUAGGAAGACAGUGGGCCCCAGUAUCUGAGGCUCCACAUCCAGGGAUUCAACCAACGCAGACGGAAAAUACCCGAGAAGAGACUGCUUCUGUACUGGACAUGUACGGACUUUUUCCUUGCCGUUAUUUCUAUACAGUAUGCUAUGACUGUUCAUAAAGCGUACACUGCAUUAGGUAUUUCAAGCCAUCGAGAGAUGAUUUAAAGCAUAUGAGAGACCUUGUGCAGGGAAUAUGUAAAUACCACCCCGUUUUAUAUAAGACUUGAGUGUCUCUGGAUUUUGGUAGCCAUGGGGGUUCCUGGAACAAAUCCCUCACUGAUGCUGAGGGACAACUGUACUAUCCUCAGACCCCACAGGGCUAAUGUGAAAACCAAAGAGUGCCAAUCAGAGAAACAGUCCAAGAUCAAAGGUGAGAUGAUUUUUAAAAGAAUUCACCAUGAAAACACUAGUCAAAAGAAAGUUGGUGCUAUGGUUUAGGUCUUAAAUAUCUCCUAGUCAUCUAGGUGUUAAAGGCAUGGUUCCCAGUGUGACACCAUCAGGAGAUGGUGGAACCCUUAGACAUGGGGCCUUGACAGAAGCCUUUAGAUUACUGGGGGCAUGCCCCCUCAAAGGGGCCUUUCUUUCUUACUUCCUGGUCAAGAGGUCAUUGGUUUUGCCCUGCCAUCCAUUUCUGCCAAGAUGUGCUCUCUUGUCACAGGUUCAAAGCAAC
RNAcentral lists this long non-coding RNA (2352 nucleotides) under Marmota monax (woodchuck). The record is from RNAcentral. Lineage: Eukaryota; Metazoa; Chordata; Mammalia; Rodentia; Sciuridae.